This 375-nucleotide unclassified non-coding RNA is filed under the name soil metagenome. RNAcentral describes it as "partial contains 5.8S ribosomal RNA, internal transcribed spacer 2, and large subunit ribosomal RNA". The stretch from base 1 to 120 matches the Rfam family "5.8S ribosomal RNA", at positions 35 to 154 of the family's 154-position model. The record is from RNAcentral.
GAUGAAGAACGCAGCGAAAUGCGAUAAGUAAUGUGAAUUGCAGAAUUCAGUGAAUCAUCGAAUCUUUGAACGCACAUUGCGCCCGCCAGUAUUCUGGCGGGCAUGCCUGUUCGAGCGUCAUUUCAACCCUCAAGACCCCUUCGGGGGACUUGGUGUUGGGGACCGGCACAGGGGCCUGCCUGCUUGUCUUGCAGCGCCCUCGCCGCCCCCGAAAUGAAUUGGCGGCCUCGUCGCGGCCUCCACUGCGUAGUAGCACAACCUCGCAACGGGAACGUGACGGCGGCCACUGCCGUAAAACAACCCCAAUUUUAUUAGAGUUGACCUCGAAUCAGGUAGGAAUACCCGCUGAACUUAAGCAUAUCAAUAAGCGGAGGA